RNAcentral lists this long non-coding RNA (399 nucleotides) under Homo sapiens (human). RNAcentral's name for it is "HSALNT0381638". Lineage: Eukaryota; Metazoa; Chordata; Mammalia; Primates; Hominidae. The record is from RNAcentral.
AGUGGAGAGGUGAGACUAGCAGUGUGUGGCCUGGGACAGGAGUAGAUAAAAGGCAGCCAUGGUGAGCCAGCGCCAUGAGGAGUGGCUGCCUCUUGAAUCCUGUCAGUCUCCGGCAGAUCCGAUUACAUCUGGGACCCUUAAGAGUACUUGAAGCAAACGGCGCUGGUCUAUUUUAAUCCUGCUCCUUCUAGAAACUAGAAACUGUAAGGAGAGUCUUCCUGCUGACAGGUGGCUCCAUAAAAGUCGUCCAUCUGCUGCUAAUUAUGGCAGAAAGAAAAUUCACAGAGCCGAGUUUUCAGUUUAUUUGCUAAAGAUCUCCAAAGGUGUAACUGUCUUCCCAGAUCACAAGGCCAUUCACAGCGUUACAUCUAUAGCGCUUGUUAAUUAUUUAAAUAAUUU